RNAcentral lists this RNase P RNA (416 nucleotides) under Cyanobacteria bacterium MAG CAR2_bin_4. RNAcentral's name for it is "RNase P RNA component class A". It matches the Rfam family "Bacterial RNase P class A". From Rfam's summary of the family: Ribonuclease P (RNase P) is a ubiquitous endoribonuclease, found in archaea, bacteria and eukarya as well as chloroplasts and mitochondria. Its best characterised activity is the generation of mature 5'-ends of tRNAs by cleaving the 5'-leader elements of precursor-tRNAs. The record is from RNAcentral. Lineage: Bacteria; Bacillati; Cyanobacteriota.
AAAGGAGGCGAGGCGACCGCGGCGCGGCCGAGUGUACUCGGUGCGUGCUGAGGAAAGUCCGGGCUCCCCCAUGGCCAGGCCUGCUGGGUAACGCCCAGUGCGGGUGACCGUGAGGAUAGUGCCACAGAAACACACCGCCGAUGGCCGCAGCCCUUGCCCAGGCAUUGGCUCAGGCACAGGCAAGGGUGCAAAGGUGCGGUAAGAGCGCACCAGCAGCAUCGAGAGGUGCUGGCUCGGUAAACCCCAGCCGGGAGCAAGGCCAAGGAACCAGGGCUGGCCAUGUGCCUGUUCCCCACAAACAUGCCGCUUGAGGCCUGUGGUAAUACAGGUCCCAGAGAGAUGGUCGCCCCUGGAGAGGGAACCAUGCCAUGGAGACCUCCCCAGGAACAGAACCCGGCUUAUGUCCUCCUUUCCAC